This 284-nucleotide long non-coding RNA is filed under the name Neodiprion pinetum (white pine sawfly). Its description in RNAcentral is "uncharacterized LOC124216934". Lineage: Eukaryota; Metazoa; Arthropoda; Insecta; Hymenoptera; Diprionidae. The record is from RNAcentral.
GGUAUACGAGCGGUUUUUUGAAGUUUUCAACCAGUUUUUCGAAGAGUCUGAACCACUUUUUGAAGUUUUGAACCAGUGUUUUGAAGAGUCUGGAGGGCAACUCUAUGGACCAGGAAUCGCUGAUUAGCAUAUUAAUGCGAUGGAAAUUGCGACCUGCACCUUUCCCGCCGCACGACAAAUGCACACUGGAGACGCCUCGGUGAAAUGCUUGGACCAGGCAUAAUAUGACAUGUAUCUUAAUGAAAAAAUUUAGGAAGACUGCUGAAAUAUAUAACAAUAAAACC